AACGAACGCUGGCGGCAUGCCUAACACAUGCAAGUCGAACGAGACCUUCGGGUCUAGUGGCGCACGGGUGCGUAACGCGUGGGAACCUGCCCUUAGGUUCGGAAUAACUCCCCGAAAGGGGUGCUAAUACCGGAUAAUGUCUUCGGACCAAAGAUUUAUGGCCUUUGGAUGGGCCCGCGUUGGAUUAGCUAGUUGGUAGGUUAAAAGCCUACCAAGGCGACGAUCCAUAGCUGGUCUGAGAGGAUGAUCAGCCACACUGGGACUGAGACACGGCCCAGACUCCUACGGGAGGAAGCAGUGGGGAAUAUUAGACAAGGGGCGAAAGCCUGAUCCAGCAAGGCCGGGUGAGUGAUGAAGGCCUUAGGGUUGUAAAGCUCUUUUACCCGGGAUGAUAAUGACAGUACCGGGAGAAUAAGCUCCGGCUAACUCCGU
This 432-nucleotide ribosomal RNA is filed under the name uncultured bacterium. Its description in RNAcentral is "partial 16S ribosomal RNA". It matches the Rfam family "Bacterial small subunit ribosomal RNA", at positions 29 to 506 of the family's 1533-position model. The record is from RNAcentral.